This 750-nucleotide long non-coding RNA is filed under the name Carassius auratus (goldfish). RNAcentral describes it as "lncRNA (ENSCARG00000023908.1)". Lineage: Eukaryota; Metazoa; Chordata; Actinopteri; Cypriniformes; Cyprinidae. The record is from RNAcentral.
GUAAAUGUAGCUCUUAAGAGUUGAUGUUUCGUCAUUUAAACGGUCAGAAUCGGUUAUUCGGAUGAUAGUGUUUCAUAGAAACAGUGAAUUAACCUGUCGAUACUUCUAGAAAAAAAAAAUAAAAUGCGGAGCUGUUCAUAUGCAACGUCAGCUAAUUAAAACUGGUUCAAGGUGAGAAAACAAGACUCGAGACACUGAACACGUGACUUCUAGAAAACAAGAAAAACCGGAUUUAAGAAUCUUGAGACAUGAUCAUUCUGUUUCUUCGACUCUCAAGAUCUGUUCAGCCGAAUUAUUGUGUUUGUUUGCCAUUUCUAUCCAGAGUCAGUGGUGAAGCUCAGAUUCUGUUUCAUCAUGGAUGAGACACAAACACCCAGAGAUGAAGAUCUUUCUCCUGAAUCCAGUUCAGUUCAUCAGAAGAGAUCCGAACCAGAGCCCAGCUGUGUGUCUGUGAGAAGUGACUGGUCUAUUGAUAAUAUCAUAGAUUUUAAGAGAGGAGGAACACAGACUAAACUUAGUUCAGUUUAUCAGAAGAGAUCAGAACCAGAGCCCAGCUGUGUGUCUAUGAAGAGUGACUGGUCUAUAGAUAAUAUAAUAGAUUUUAAGACUGAAAAUACAGAGACUGAUCUCAGGUAUGAAAUUUCUAUAAAUAUAUGAAUAUAUAUGGCAUUUUCUUUUUGUAUAAUAUUUAUAGUUAUUUUUUAAUCUUUAUAUUGUAUGUUAAUGUAUAAAGUGUUGCUCACAUCUGUG